Molecule: long non-coding RNA, 4439 nt
Filed under: Panax ginseng (ginseng)
Lineage: Eukaryota; Viridiplantae; Streptophyta; Magnoliopsida; Apiales; Araliaceae
Description: long non-coding RNA (PGIN_LNC012255)
Source: RNAcentral
CUCCCGUAGCCAACUUUAGUAAAAUGAAAAGAGAGAAAAGAGAGAAGAGAGAAAAAGAAAGGAAGAAAGAGGGAAAGAAAUAAAGAGGAGAGAGAGAGAAAAGAAAAUGAUGACUUUCUCCAUUCCCAUAUUCCUUCCCGUAGCCCAAUUUUAAGCAAGAGAGAAGAUAGAGGAAGAGAGGAAGAAGAAGAAGGAAAUGAAGAAAUAAAGAAGAAAUGAAAAAGAAAUCAAGAAAGGUAUUUUUCAAAAUCUUGAUAAUUUUAGUUUAUAGAUUUUAUGUAAAGAGUACAUACUUAGGUGUGUAUUUAAUGAUUUAAACUUGUAUAAGCAUGAAUCAAGUGAGAGAAAUCAAGAAAUCAAAUGAAAAGAAAAAUCUGGAAAUUUUCAUAAAAAUUAGUUUACUAUUUGAUUUUGUAAAAUCCAUAACUCUUUGUGUAUAAUGAGUUAGGAGAUGAGCUAUAUAUCAAAAGAAAGCCCUUGAAGUAAGCUAAAUGCAAAAAUUUGAAUCACCCAAAAAUUCUUUGUAAAUUUGUCGUGGUGACUGUUUGAGUGAAAUUGGUCCGAAGGACUUAUAGGCUGAAAAAUCAGUUUUAUUAAGCUUUAUUGCGUGAGUUAUAAUUUUUAAUCCGACCGUUGGAUCGUUGUGAUUUUCGGAUAUGUUAUAUAUAUAUAAGUUGAGUACAUGUCCACAAAUUUUGAACCGUUAAAGAUUAACAUAUAAUUUGUUAUGAAUUUUGUGAGGUGGCUGGUUCAAAAAUCUUUGAGCAGAAAUUUCGGUAAGACUAUUUCUCUAUGUUAGAGUUAGAAUUUGGGAAAACUUUCUUCUACAAAGUUGUAGAGAAUUAAAUUUUACAUGGAAAGGGCUUAGGAUCCUUAUUUUUCUGAUAAAAGGUAAUUAUUAUGAAUUAUUGAAAUUUCUAAAUAUUAGAGUUUAUGAUUAAUUUAUCAAAAAAAUUAUUUGGGUUGAAAUAUUUUUACAGAAUGCUUAUAAUAUUAUCUUAGAAUUUCUGUAAAAUUUUGAUGAAUUAUUGAAAAGCAGAAAUAUUUAUUAUAUUUUAAAACUAUUUAUGGUUAGUUUAAAAAUGGAGGAAAUUCAUAGAAAAUUCUUUGAAUGAUGAAAAAUUAUGAUAUUUAGUGAAAAAUCUUAUAAUGUUAUUUUAUAAUUUCUGGACAGUUUUGGAAAAUUAUUGAAUAACAGAAAUAUUUAUUAUAUUUUUAAACUAUUUAUGGUUAGUUUAAAAAUAGAAGAAAUUCAUAAGAAAUUCUAUGAAUGGUGAAAAAUUAUGAUUUUUGCUGAAAAAUAUUAUAAUAAUGUAAUAUUAAUAUUGAUGAUGUUUUCAAGAUAUAAAAGUUUAUGGAGUUAGUAUUUCUAUUUUGAAGCUAUUAAAUGAUAGUUUUUGUAAAUAGAAAUAAUUAUUGAAAAUUGUUGGUUAAUCUGAAAAAAUAUGAAAAUUAUUUGAAAAAUUCAGAAUCAUAUUUUUAAAUAUUUUAGAAGUGUUAGUAAGCUCAUGAGGUGUCGGGAUGUAAACGCACUAGUAACGAAUGAGUUAUGAUAAAAACAAAAAUAAUAUUUUUGUUAAAGUAAAAAUGGUGAUAAUACCACAAUAGUGGAUUGUCAUAUAUGAGGUUUUAGAUUUCUUAAGUUUUAUUAUUCACUUCUAAAGUUUUGGAAUAUGAAUAAUGAUUUUAUGUGAUAAAUAGAGAUAACUUGAAUGAAUAAUGAAUUGUUAGUUGGUUUAUAUGUUAUUCGAGAUAAAUAUGAUUUGGUGUUGAUCCGAUCCCUACUUUUAAUAGAAUUUAAAUUGUUCAUAGUAAGGUGUUGAUUUGAUUCUUAUGUAAGAAGUCGCCAUGUAUUUUAUUCAAUAAUUGUCACAGUAAUUAUUGCACAGUGAUUUAUAUUAUUGAUUCUUAAUUACGUAAGAAGUCACUCAGUCUUUCAUUCAAUAAUUGUCACAGUAAUUAUUGCACAAUGAUUUAUAUUAUUGAUUCUUAAUUACGUAAGAAGUCACUCAGUCUUUCAUUCAAUAAUUGUCACAGUAGUUAUUGCACAGCGACUCAUAUUAUUUGAUAUGAUAUAAUUAAACCAGUUGGCAGUAUUGUGAGUCUAUGUUAAUAAUUAUGAAUAAAUUGUUGAAAGAUUUAAAAUGUGUAAAUAAUUGAUAAAUAAAAGGGUGUUGAUUAAAGAUAAAUAUGAUAUACAGAUGUUUGUUCAAUUAUUUUCUUUUUACAAAAAUAAGUUUGGCAGGACUUGCCGACACUUUACUUUUUCUAAAGUAGUAUGGACCACAACUCUAUUAUUGAACAAAUUUUGUUAAAACGUGUACAAGUUGGUUUAAUUUUCUCCGUGGGACCAUAAAUUCCACUACCAUUAUUAUAUACCUCAUGUGAUUAUUUUGUCAAAGCAGGUGUGCUAGUUGUUUACUAAAUUUUCAGUAUAAAUAGGUUGCCAGGUUGAGCCACUAAAGACACACCAUCACUACAUUGAAAAUAUAUAAUUCUUUUACUUCAAUAUUGUGAGUAUAAUUUUGUGAGUAUUUCUAUUGAGUGUAAUGUUACUCCAAGUGUAGAUAAGGAGUGCAAGCAUUGUUUAAGUUGAUCAAUUUCACAGAAAUCAGAAUCAAGUCACAUGCUAAAGGUAAGGGAUAUCAUUAUUGUGGUAAGGAGGUAUCAUUUUUAUGGUAAAAAGAAUAUCAUUUUCUUUCAUACUCCAUAUUAUGAUAAGAUAUUAUUAUUCGUUUAUUUAGUUUAUCUUUAAAUGGUGAAAAGUCCUGAAAGGAUUAGAAUAUUCUUAAUAGUUUGUGCUUUAUUUAUUAUUAUGUUAUCAAUUUAGACUCUGGAUAAUUAAGUUGAAAAUCAUUAAGAUCUAUCUAAUCUAAUUAUUAUGAUGAUUUAUGUUUAUUCAUUAUAUAUAUCAUUGUCAUCAUUUUCAUGCUUAUAUUGUGUUGAAAGUCAUCUUUGGCCCGUAGUGCAUAGAUGGACUUGGUAUGAUUAUGACUAGGGAUUAUUCGAUAUAAUCAUGAUCGUAAUGUUAUAAAUGAUGUGGUAAAAGUCAUCUUUGGCCCAUAGUGCAUAGAUGGACUUGGUAUGAUUAUGACCAGGGAUUAUUCGGUAUAAUCAUGACCGUAAUUGAAAACACAAAUAUCUUUGGCCCGUAGUGCAUGGAUAAUUCAUGGUCAUGAUACUAUUAAGCUGAGUCUCAGCAUUAUUGGUUUUACAGUUGUAUAUCUUUGGCCUGUAGUGCAAAGAUGGACUGUUGGUCAUUGGUUUUACAAUUGUAUAUCUUUGGCAUAUUGUGCAAAGUUGGACUGUUGAUUUACUUGAUUAUAAAUAUAAAUUGUGAUUUAAUUAUAAUCUGUGGUGGUUCAGGUGAAGACAGGUGAUGAGAGUUCUCUUUGUCUUGGGUAUAACCAAGAACUAUUGAUGAGUAUUACAGGAAUAAAAUAUUAACGAUGGACUUUUAGUCUAUGGGAGAUAGUAGACAUUAUGUUCUACUUGAUUCUUCUAAUGGAUUGUUGAUUCCGCUGCUAUUAUGGUUGAAAACUUUUAUCUUCUACCAUAUGUUAUAAAUAUCUGAAUUCUUUUGAUAAUUUAAUUAUCUUAAGUCAUGAUAUUCUUUACUGGGCUAUUUGUGCUCACCUUUUUACUUCACCACCCCUUUUAGGUAAUAAAAGUGUAGCUGGGACUAGCAGAGAGAACAUGGGUAUAAAGUGGUGAUACAAAUUAGUCAUAAGCCUAAUCAAAUUAUGAAACGGCGUGGCAUAAUAAUUGUACUGAGAACUUAAAAUGUGUGUGACAUGUUUUAUACAUCAUUUGAUAUGUAAUUUUGGUAAACUAUAAUAGGGUGAGGCGAAUCAGAAUUUGGAAACAUCAAAGGUGCACUCCAUUAGAAUGAGGAGAACAUAAAUCUUCUCGUGUCCCUUCGGGGACUUAAUACAUUUGCUGGUGUACUUUAUAUGGCAUUGUAAUAAUUUAAAUAUGAAUAUUGUCGUAUUAUAUACGUAACAAUAUUUGUAUUGAAACUCACAGUAUAUGAGUCAUCGUAUUUUGUACGACAGUUGUAUAAAUGGAGUUGUAAGUAGUGUAUUUUCUGGCGACCCAAGAUGGGUGAUGUGUACCUAUUUUUGGGGGCGUCACAUAAUUAACUAGCUUUAGUGAGUAAAUAAAGUAAAGCAAGUAAUAAAAUUAACACCAUGAUUUUUUACGUGGUUCAGCUAUUACCCUCUAUAAUAAUAGCCUAGUCCACGUCCAAUACCAAUUAGUAUUGGAGACUCACUUUUAUUUCUUUAAAAAUGACCCUUGUUACAAAACAUAUUCUAUCAAAUUGAAUUACAAUAAUUCACUUGAGCACAUUUUCUCCUUGUGCACCAAUGCACCCCUUAAGCACCUAUGCUUCCUUGAACCUGUUUGUAAACAAACCUUAAUCCACCUGGAUUAAAUUC